CUGAAUUAACGAACUUUAUGUGGUUAUAUACAGCAAUAAUGUCUGUCUAUAGUAAUCUAGCGGAUUUAGCGGUUAUAUUUUAUAAGUUAUUUAUUUAUUUAAGUUAUGUUUAUUAAACCAGUGCAAGCAAUCACAGAAAUGAAGCUUCAAGCCCCGUGACGCGCGUGCGGUGCCAGUUAACAAAAGUGGAUGAAGGCAGGCUGAGUGUCAUCCAUCACAGAGAAAGAGUAAGAUGGAUGGAUGGACGGACAGAUGGUGAACAUGGAUGUACUUCGUCAGAUUCCAAAAUUGGGGCCAAAACAAUAUGCAAGGAUGGAUGAAUGGACUGAGAAACCAAACCAUCAGUCAUAAUGAACAUCCUUUCCACUGGACAGUGAGGUACAGUAACAUCCAUAAUCCCACACUCUGUUUCCAUUGCCAAGUGACCCAUACUGUAACCAAGUACCAUUGUACCCAAGAGUGCCAAACAUGGGUGGAGCUGAAAACAGUGCAGGCUGGUGACAGGUCGGGAAAAAAAAGAAAGAAAGAAAAAGAAGAGGGCUUUCCUGGUGUACAGUAGAAAACAACUUCAGUAGUGCAACAGUCUGCUGAAGGAAUGUUUUUCUCAUCUCUAUGCAAGGCUAUGAGGCAUCACAAAUUCACCAUAAAACAUUGUUUUAUUUAUUUGCCCACAGUAAGGUUUUUGUGUAAGAUAUUUUUGCACCAUUUUUACAUUUCUAACCUGUGACCCAAAUUAAAGUCUUCCAGUUGGCCUGAACCCCCAAAUGGCUUCCUAUUGACUUUGUUUGCUUACUACAGCAUACACAGUGCACUACAGAGCCAACAGUACGGCAUCUGAGAUUCAGCCACAAGUUCAUUCUUUUUCAUUCAUCUUCAGUAAGCAGUUCAUCCCGGUCAGGGGAUGGAGCCAGAGCCUAUCACAGGAACACUGGACGCAAGGUGAGAGAAUUCACUCCAGGUGGGACAUCAGUCCAUCUCUCACACUCAAUCACACCUAGCAUAGACAGUCUGCCAUCCUGCAUGUUUUUGGGAAGUGGGAGGAAACCAGAGAACCCAGAGGAAACCCACUUGGACACGGUGAGAACAUGCGACAGACCUGAGUGACCUGAGCUCAGGAUCAAACCCUGGAGCUGUGAGGCACAGAACGUACAGGUUUCUAUUUUAAAUUCUUUUAUUUUUAUUGCAGAGUCUAAGUAUUUUUUCCUCUGUUGUAAGAAGAUUGCAAUCAAGAUUAAAGUAUUGGCACCCCUGACUUCCUCUGGGUGUAUUUAACGCAUCUUUAAUAUUUAGUUAAAGGGGGAACCAUACUGCUUGUUUCUGAGUAGAACUUGACAAGCUCUCCACAAACCUUUCUGAUAGAUCUUUAUUUAGAUUUGUUACUGUACCACACCAUCCAGUGAAACAAUAUUAAUAACUGUAGUCUUUAUGGCAACUCUGGUCUUCACAGUGGAGUAAUCAAUUACUGAAUUGAGCAAUUUGCUGCUCAGUGUUGAGACAAAUCAGGUGUCUGAGCGAGAAAAUCACCAAACUACUGGACUGAACUCUCCAUUCACACACAGCUCAUGCACACAUUUACCUCUUCACUCCAUAGGCCA
Long non-coding RNA from Pangasianodon hypophthalmus (striped catfish), 1595 nucleotides. RefSeq lists it as uncharacterized. The record is from RefSeq and is a predicted model, not a curated record. NCBI's taxonomy places the organism in Eukaryota, Metazoa, Chordata, Actinopteri, Siluriformes, Pangasiidae. The transcript has 4 exons.